Molecule: long non-coding RNA, 1718 nt
Organism: Mytilus californianus (California mussel)
Lineage: Eukaryota; Metazoa; Mollusca; Bivalvia; Mytilida; Mytilidae
Exons: 3
Source: RefSeq, a predicted model, not a curated record
GUAGCCCCAAGUUUUUUUCGCUGAAAUGCCUAAACAAAACUUGGCCCAUUAACAUCUAUAUUUUCAAUUUUAUUUCUAUUUUUGUAGCCCCAAGUUUUUUUCGCUGAAAUGCCUAAACAAAACUUGGCCCGUUAACAUCUAUAUUUCUCAAUUUUAUUUCUAUUUUUGUAGCCCCAAGUGUUUUUCGCUGAAAUGCCUAAACAAAACUUGGCCCAUUAACAUCUAUAUUUCUCAAUUUUAUUUCUAUUUUUGUAGCCCCAAGUUUUUUUUUCGCUAAAAUGCCUAAACAAAACUUGGCCCAUUAACAUCUAUAUUUCUCAAUUUUAUUUCUAUUUUUGUAGCCCCAAGUUUUUUUUUCGCUGAAAUGCCUAAACAAAACUUGGCCCAUUAACAUCUAUAUUUCUCAAUUUUAUUUCUAUUUUUGUAGCCCCAAGUUUUUUUUCUCGCUAAAAUGCCUAAACAAAACUUGGCCCAUUAACAUCUAUAUUUCUCAAUUUUAUUUCUAUUUUUGUAGCCCCAAGUUUUUUUCUCUCGCUAAAAUGCCUAAACAAAACUUGGCCCAUUAACAUCUAUAUUUCUCAAUUUUAUUUCUAUUUUUGUACCCCCAAGUUUUUUUUUGCUAAAAUGCCUAAACAAAACUUGGCCCAUUAACAUCUAUAUUUCUCAAUUUUAUUUCUAUUUUUGUAGCCCCAAGUUGUUUUUCGCUGAAAUGCCUAAACAAAACUUGGCCCAUUAACAUCUAUAUUUCUCAAUUUUAUUUCUAUUUUUGUAGCCCCAAUUUUUUUUUCGCUGAAAUGCCUAAACAAAACUUGGCCCAUUAACAUCUAUAUUUCUCAAUUUUAUUUCUAUUUUUGUAGCCCCAAGUUUUUUUUCUCGCUAAAAUGCCUAAACAAAACUUGGCCCAUUAACAUCUAUAUUUCUCAAUUUUAUUUCUAUUUUUGUAGCCCCAAGUUUUUUUUCUCGCUAAAAUGCCUAAACAAAACUUGGCCCAUUAACAUCUAUAUUUCUCAAUUUUAUUUCUAUUUUUGUACCCCCAAGUUUUUUUUUGCUAAAAUGCCUAAACAAAACUUGGCCCAUUAACAUCUAUAUUUCUCAAUUUUAUUUCUAUUUUUGUAGCCCCAAGUGUUUUUCGCUGAAAUGCCUAAACAAAACUUGGCCCAUUAACAUCUAUAUUUCUCAAUUUUAUUUCUAUUUUUGUAGCCCCAAGUUUUUUUCGCUGAAAUGCCUAAACAAAACUUGGCCUAUUAACAUCUAUAUUUCUCAAUUUUAUUUCUAUUUUUGUAGCAUCAAGUUUUUUUCGCUGAAAUGCCUAAACCAAACUUGGCCCAUUAACAUCUAUAUUUCUUAAUUUUAUUUCUAUUUUUGUAGCUCCAAGUUUUUUUUCGCUGAAAUGCCUAAACCAAACUUGGCCCAUUAACAUCUAUAUUUCUCAAUUUUAUUUCUAUUUUGUAGCCCCGAGGUUUUUUUUCGCUGAAAUGCAUGAAAGUAACAAUCAGCAACUAUAUUUCUCAAUUUUCUUUGAAAAACAUCUCAAAUUAACUUCUGACAAAAUAUUUUAUGAAUUUUGUCGUUUUCAUACAGUUUAAUCCCCACAUCUCCUCAUACUUUUAUACAAAACUCAAGAGAUCGAAAUUACUUGUUUUUCAUAUUUUUGUCCUAACUAAUUCGAAAGUGUUCUACAUUCUCUAUUUUAAAAGACUUCAUGUCCUUAUUUUUAC